UGGGGAAUAUUGCGCAAUGGGGGGAACCCUGAUGCAGCCAUGCCGCGUGAAUGAAGAAGGCCUUCGGGUUGUAAAGUUCUUUCGGUAUUGAGGAAGGUUGAUGUGUUAAUAGCACAUCAAAUUGACGUUAAAUACAGAAGAAGCACCGGCUAACUCCGUGCCAGCAGCCGCGGUAAUACGGAGGGUGCGAGCGUUAAUCGGAAUAACUGGGCGUAAAGGGCACGCAGGCGGUUAUUUAAGUGAGGUGUGAAAGCCCUGGGCUUAACCUAGGAAUUGCAUUUCAGACUGGGUAACUAGAGUACUUUAGGGAGGGGUAGAAUUCCACGUGUAGCGGUGAAAUGCGUAGAGAUGUGGAGGAAUACCGAAGGCGAAGGCAGCCCCUUGGGAAUGUACUGACGCUCAUGUGCGAAAGCGUGGGGAGCAAACAGGAUUAGAUACCCUGGUAGUCCACGCUGUAAACGCUGUCGAUUUGGGGGUUGGGGUUUAACUCUGGCGCCCGUAGCUAACGUGAUAAAUCGACCGCCUGGGGAGUACGGCCGCAAGGUUA
This 547-nucleotide ribosomal RNA is filed under the name uncultured bacterium. RNAcentral's name for it is "bacterial SSU rRNA". It matches the Rfam family "Bacterial small subunit ribosomal RNA", at positions 355 to 896 of the family's 1533-position model. The record is from RNAcentral.